GAUGAACGCUGACAGAAUGCUUAACACAUGCAAGUCCACUUGAACUUCGGUUUGGGUGGCGGACGGGUGAGUAACGCGUACAGAACUUGCCUCACAGAUAGGGACAACAUUUGGAAACGAAUGCUAAUACCUGAUAUUAUGAUUAUAUGGCAUCGUAUAAUUAUGACAGCUAUAUGCGCUGUGAGAGAGCUUUGCGUCCCAUUAGCUAGUUGGAGAGGUAACGGCUCACCAGGGCGAUGAUGGGUAGCCGGCCUGAGAGGGUGAUCGGCCACAAGGGGACUGAGACACGGCCCUUACUCCUACGGGAGGCAGCAGUGGGGAAUAUUGGACAAUGGACCAAGAGUCUGAUCCAGCAAUUCUGUGUGCACGAUGAAGUUUUUCGGAAUGUAAAGUGCUUUCAGUUGGGAAGAAAAAAAUGACGGUACCAACAGAAGAAGUGACGGCUAAAUACGUG
This 454-nucleotide ribosomal RNA is filed under the name uncultured bacterium. RNAcentral's name for it is "partial 16S ribosomal RNA". It matches the Rfam family "Bacterial small subunit ribosomal RNA", at positions 28 to 507 of the family's 1533-position model. The record is from RNAcentral.